Molecule: ribosomal RNA, 520 nt
Filed under: bacterium btn 7h
Lineage: Bacteria
Description: bacterial SSU rRNA
Rfam family: Bacterial small subunit ribosomal RNA
Source: RNAcentral
ACUCCUACGGGAGGCAGCAGUGGGGAAUAUUGGACAAUGGGCGAAAGCCUGAUCCAGCAACGCCGCGUGAGGGAUGAAUGCCUUCGGGUUGUAAACCUCUUUCAGCAGGGACGAAGCGAAAGUGACGGUACCUGCAGAAGAAGCACCGGCCAACUACGUGCCAGCAGCCGCGGUAAUACGUAGGGUGCGAGCGUUGUCCGGAAUUAUUGGGCGUAAAGGGCUCGUAGGCGGUUUGUCGCGUCGGGAGUGAAAACCAGGUGCUUAACACCUGGCCUGCUUCCGAUACGGGCAGACUAGAGGUAUGCAGGGGAGAACGGAAUUCCUGGUGUAGCGGUGAAAUGCGCAGAUAUCAGGAGGAACACCGGUGGCGAAGGCGGUUCUCUGGGCAUUACCUGACGCUGAGGAGCGAAAGUGUGGGGAGCGAACAGGAUUAGAUACCCUGGUAGUCCACACCGUAAACGUUGGGCGCUAGGUGUGGGACUCAUUCCACGAGUUCCGUGCCGCAGCUAACGCAUUAAGC